Molecule: ribosomal RNA, 714 nt
Filed under: uncultured organism
Description: bacterial SSU rRNA
Rfam family: Bacterial small subunit ribosomal RNA
Source: RNAcentral
CCGUAAACGAUGGACACUAGAAUGUUGGCCUCUUCGGGGGUCGGUGUUCGUAGCUAACGCGUUAAGUGUCCGCUGGGAAGUACGCUCGCAAGAAGUGAAACUCAAAGGAAUUGACGGGGGCCCGCACAAGCGGUGGAGCAUGUGCUUUAAUUCGAUGCAACGCGAAGAACUUUACCUGGACUUGACAUGGGGGUGAAAGUUUUCAGAGAUGAAAACCCUUCCUUCGGGAACGCCCUACACAGGUGCUGCAUGGUUGUCGUCAGCUCGUGUCGUGAGAUGUUGGGUUAAGUCCCGCAACGAGCGCAACCCUUGUCCUUAGUUGCCAGCGGGUCAUGCCGGGAACUCUAGGGAGACUGCCUGGUACAACCAGGAGGAAGGUGGGGAUGACGUCAAAUCAUCAUGGCCCUUACGUCCAGGGCUAGACACGUGCUACAAUGGCCGGUACAGAGGGCUGCAAGACUGCGAAGUCAAGCCAAUCCCUAAAAACCGGUCUCAGUUCGGAUUGGAGUCUGCAAUUCGACUCCAUGAAGGUGGAAUCGCUAGUAAUCGCGGAUCAGCAUGCCGCGGUGAAUACGUUCCCGGGCCUUGUACACACCGCCCGUCAAGCCACGAAAGAUGGCAGUGCCCGAAGUCGCUACUCUAACCCUCACGGGAGGAGAGCGCCGAAGGUAAGGCUGUUGAUUGGGGCUAAGUCGUAACAAGGUAACCCAAGGG